Long non-coding RNA from Sebastes umbrosus (honeycomb rockfish), 437 nucleotides. RefSeq lists it as uncharacterized. The transcript is spliced from 3 exons. NCBI's taxonomy places the organism in Eukaryota, Metazoa, Chordata, Actinopteri, Perciformes, Sebastidae. The record is from RefSeq and is a predicted model, not a curated record.
CCGAUGCUCCGGCCGCCGCUGCCUGCUCCGGUACGGUCACUUUGCUGUCCCCGUUCUCCUUCUUCUCCUCCUCCGCCGGCGGUGAAGGCUUCUCCUCCGCGGGCUCACCGGCCGGCACCUCCUCCGUUGUCCCCGCUGUUUCACCUUCCGGCAUGUGGUUGCCUCCUUCUGUCAUGCUCCCUCUCUGCAGUCCUGAGAGGUCUCACUUCCUCUUCCCAGCUGCUAAAAAUAGACAAACUGCAAGGCAGGCACAUGGACACAAAUGCAACGAUAAUGUGCAGAGAGCAGAAGUAAAAGUAGAUGGAACACCCUGCCGUUCACCCUACUAUCCACCCUGACUACUUACAUGUUCAAUUAGCCUGACUGCAUAUUGAAUAAUUGUGCUUCAGCAACAAAAGGGCCACAGGUGAGCUCUUGUGUUUUGGAGCAAUGGAUGC